GUACUCCGGGGAUAACAGGCUGAUACCGCCCAAGAGUUCAUAUCGACGGCGGUGUUUGGCACCUCGAUGUCGGCUCAUCACAUCCUGGGGCUGAAGUAGGUCCCAAGGGUAUGGCUGUUCGCCAUUUAAAGUGGUACGCGAGCUGGGUUUAGAACGUCGUGAGACAGUUCGGUCCCUAUCUGCCGUGGGCGCUGGAGAACUGAGGGGGGCUGCUCCUAGUACGAGAGGACCGGAGUGGACGCAUCACUGGUGUUCGGGUUGUCAUGCCAAUGGCACUGCCCGGUAGCUAAAUGCGGAAGAGAUAAGUGCUGAAAGCAUCUAAGCACGAAACUUGCCCCGAGAUGA
Molecule: ribosomal RNA, 345 nt
Filed under: Escherichia coli
Lineage: Bacteria; Pseudomonadati; Pseudomonadota; Gammaproteobacteria; Enterobacterales; Enterobacteriaceae
Also listed under: 4 other names
Description: partial 23S ribosomal RNA
Rfam family: Bacterial large subunit ribosomal RNA
Source: RNAcentral